GACGAACGCUGGCGGCGUGCUUAACACUUGCAAAUCGAACGAUGAAGCCUAGCUUGCUAGGUGGAUUAGUGGCGAACGGGUGAGUAAUACGUGAGUGACCUACCUUUGACUCUGGGAUAAGCCUGGGAAACUGGGUCUAAUACCGGAUACGACCAAUCUCCGCAUGGGGUGUUGGUGGAAAGCGUUAUGGAGUGGUUUUAGAUGGGCUCACGGCCUAUCAGCUUGUUGGUGAGGUAAUGGCUUACCAAGGCGACGACGGGUAGCCGGCCUGAGAGGGUGACCGGCCACACUGGGACUGAGACACGGCCCAGACUCCUACGGGAGGCAGCAGUGGGGAAUAUUGCACAAUGGGCGCAAGCCUGAUGCAGCGACGCCGCGUGAGGGAUGACGGCCUUCGGGUUGUAAACCUCUGUUAGCAUCGAAGAAGCGAAAGUGACGGUAGGUGCAGAGAAAGCGCCGGCUAACUACGUGCCAGCAGCCGCGGUAAUACGUAGGGCGCGAGCGUUGUCCGGAAUUAUUGGGCGUAAAGAGCUUGUANGCGGUUGGUCGCGUCUGCUGUGAAGGCUGGGGCUUAACCCUGGUUUUGCAGUGGGUACGGGCUAACUAGAGUGCAGUAGGGGAGACUGGAAUUCCUGGUGUAGCGGUGGAAUGCGCAGAUAUCAGGAGGAACACCGAUGGCGAAGGCAGGUCUCUGGGCUGUAACUGACGCUGAGAAGCGAAAGCAUGGGGAGCGAACAGGAUUAGAUACCCUGGUAGUCCAUGCCGUAAACGUUGGGCACUAGGUGUGGGGGACAUUCCACGUUUUCCGCGCCGUAGCUAACGCAUUAAGUGCCCCGCCUGGGGAGUACGGCCGCAAGGCUAAAACUCAAAGAAAUUGACGGGGGCCCGCGCAAGCGGCGGAGCAUGCGGAUUAAUUCGAUGCAACGCGAAGAACCUUACCAAGGCUUGACAUAUACUGGACUGCGUCAGAGAUGGCGUUUCCCUUCGGGGCUGGUAUACAGGUGGUGCAUGGUUGUCGUCAGCUCGUGUCGUGAAAUGUUGGGUUAAGUCCCGCAACGAGCGCAACCCUCGUUCUAUGUUGCCAGCACGUGAUGGUGGGGACUCAUAGGAGACUGCCGGGGUCAACUCGGAGGAAGGUGGGGAUGACGUCAAAUCAUCAUGCCCCUUAUGUCUUGGGCUUCACGCAUGCUACAAUGGCCGGUACAGAGGGUUGCGAUACUGUGAGGUGGAGCUAAUCCCUAAAAGCCGGUCUCAGUUCGGAUUGGGGUCUGCAACUCGACCCCAUGAAGUCGGAGUCGCUAGUAAUCGCAGAUCAGCAACGCUGCGGUGAAUACGUUCCCGGGCCU
Molecule: ribosomal RNA, 1346 nt
Filed under: uncultured bacterium
Lineage: Bacteria
Description: bacterial SSU rRNA
Rfam family: Bacterial small subunit ribosomal RNA
Source: RNAcentral